UUUUUUUUAAUAUUUCCUUAGAAGCCUUAUAUAAUUAUUUACAUUUGUGCAAAAUUUCAUCACUUUAUCAUUAGUAACAAAAAAAGUUAGGGAUUUUUGAUUUUUGUAAAAAAAAUUGAUUUUUGUAAAAAAAAAAAAAUGAAAUUGUGAUUUUUAUUUACGAGUUUAAUAUUAAUUUUUUUUUUUAUAAAAAAUAUUUCCUUAGAAGCCCUAUAUACUACUCUACAUUUGUGCAAAAUUUCAACACUUUAUCUUUAGUAACAAAAAAAUUAUUGAUUUUUGAUCUAAAACGGACCUUUAUUUUUCACUGUGCGGUGUGAAGCAAUCACUCCUAGACACAAGUUAACUUUUUGGAAAUUAACUUUUUCUAACUCGACUUCUCCACAGAAGUGAGGAGUUAUUUGCACAAAAUUGUGCAAAAUAAUUCCACACUUGUAUCUAUGAGUGAUAGCUACACACCCAAUCAGCAGUACAUUAAUGGGCCAGAGCUGGCAAGCCAGGUCCGGCAAAACACAUGAUCCAGUUAAGGGCCUUAGCUGGCGAACCAGAACUGGCUUGCCAUUACCGGACCAUAAGUGUAUCAUUAAUGGCUCGCCAAAAGUACAAAAAUGCAUGGCGCAAAAUAGAUGAAAAUUUUACGGAGAGAAAAAUAUAUUUAUGUUUUCAUUCAAGUAUAUAAUUUUCAUUAUAUCACAUCCUGUAUAUUUAGUAAUCUUGGUUUUAGUUAUAAGCUAUUGGUCUGAAAGAAAAAAAAUUAAAGAAGUUAAAAUUAUUUUAUUUUAACUUUUAUUUAUUAAUUUAUUUGUCCAAAAUCAAUCAAGAGAAAAUGGUUAUUGAUGGAGCCUAUAACUAUGAUUACAUAGGUAAAACUGGGUUUGAUUUUCCUCAGCCUACUGACGCGUUGCCCAAAACAGUCGUUCAAAGCAAUUGCAAAAAACAUGGGUUGAACACUUCAGAUAAUGAACCUUCCAACACCACUGCUCUGGAUAAUAUCCUCAAUAUUUCUUAUCAAUUGAUAAUGAAAUUAGUGAAUUUAAAGCUUUAUCUGAUAACAAUUCAGAUAAAAAUGAUAAAAAUAUUGUCAUAUAUGAACUAGAGGGUGAUUUAGCAUUUUAAUCUUCUCAGCAUAAUAUCACACAAGAAUUCACUGAUUUAAUUUGCUGAUCUAUGACCAGAGCUGCUUAAAUGAGUACAGAAGUAACCUGAUGAAAAUUAUGAUAGUGACUCUCAAGAUUUUAAUGAGCAUCAAGAAUUCAAAAAGUCUGCAGACACCUGUCUCUGUCUGCAGACACCUGUCUCUGUCUGCAGACACCUGUCUCUGUAUUGAAUCAAAGUAGAACAAGAUUUAAAAAAGUGAUCAUAUUUACCUCUGUGAUCAAGGUGAAGGGAGUAGCAGCAAAAAGGGAAGUAGCAAAAUAAUUGAAUUGGACAGGGCAAGGUGAUCUUCAUAAAAAGUUAUUGAAACUCCACAAACACAAAAAGCUGGAAAAAAGGUUCUAUAAUGGAGUUAUGCGCACAUUGACAAUUGUAUAUAUGGUUAUCAAACCUAUCUGUUGAUUGCCCAGUUCUACAACUAGAAAUGUGCCCAUUAGUGCGAAGUCAAGCAAUACGAAGAAAUUUGCUGACAAAAGAUACCACAUACAGCGAAAUUUAAAAGGCAGUUGUGGCUUUUUUUUUCUGGAGCUCAAGACAGAAAUAGAAGUAGAAAAGAAAGAGCAGAAAAAAAGUCCAUCCAAAAAACCAGUUCAUCAAAAAAUCGUAGCUAUACUGCCCAAUUAUUGACAUUGAAACCUUUAUCUGGAUUAUCAUUACCACGAUUUGAACGCUUUAUUUUUGAUGAAUCUGACAAAGUAUAAUGUUCUCAAAAUCUUGCAUGAUCUGUUUUAUAUGUUAUAUUUUAUAUUAAUUGUAUAUUUGACAUUAUUAUAAGCUUUACAAGUAUUUAUGUUAUUAAUUAUAAAUUUAAUGCAUUUAUUUUUUAUAUAUUUUUAUGUAAAUUUAUUAACUUGUAAAUUAU
Hydra vulgaris (swiftwater hydra) is the source of this 2017-nucleotide long non-coding RNA. RefSeq lists it as uncharacterized. The record is from RefSeq and is a predicted model, not a curated record. NCBI's taxonomy places the organism in Eukaryota, Metazoa, Cnidaria, Hydrozoa, Anthoathecata, Hydridae.